Molecule: long non-coding RNA, 4880 nt
Organism: Numida meleagris (helmeted guineafowl)
Lineage: Eukaryota; Metazoa; Chordata; Aves; Galliformes; Numididae
Exons: 3
Source: RefSeq, a predicted model, not a curated record
CGCCCCCUUGCGGCGCGCGGCGAGUGUGGAGGGCUGAAGUAAAUAAAUACCGCGCGUGGCGGGGAGGACCCGUUGGGCGGGAGGAGGUGGGGACGGGAGCGGCCGAGGGGGUACGGGGCGGUCGCGCUCCGGCAGCAGCCGGGCUGUGAGAUGCUGCUGCCAUGAGUCUCCAUAUGGUUUGUGUCAUUCCCCCAGGACAAAGGAGACAUCCAGGGUUUGGACAGAGUUUCUGCUGCUGUUCUUCCACAGCCUCCGUCUCAGCUGCCCACAUCAGAAACAAAGCGAGGCCUUAACCCAUGGCAACUCCUAGCAGCUGAAAGGGCCACCAAAACUGCCAUUAUUUGACCAUAAACACAUAGCCUUACUGUAAAAGGGAGCCUUGAAGACGGAUUUGCUUGUGUCUAGUAAUUUGAGUAGCACUGAGGAGCAGCUACAAUAUGCCUUAAAGGCCCAGCAGAUGUACCUGCACUGUUCAGGAUGGAAAUUUUACUCAGUGAUUUUUGGGGUGGGUAUUUCUUAAGUUCUUUGCACAUCUAUUUCCAGGAGGAUUUGUGCUUCCCUUCUUGAUUUCAUGGCUGCUGAGCUCAAAGAUGACCUGCAGGACUUGAGCUCUACGAAUUAGUGUACAGACUAAGGAGACAUGAAAAUGAGGUGAUGAGGCUUGGAUGUAAAAAGAUUUUUCUGUCAGUCUCUGAAUGAAAUAACACUGUGAGGCUGGAAACAGCAGGCAUUGUCAGAUAGAAGGGAUUAAAAGGCUUUUUAGUGUGGCUUAGUAGUGUACAGAAGAUUGGCUUACUUGUGAUAGAUCUUCUUUUGUCACAUUGAUCUUUAUUUUGCAUUGUGCUUAGUGCAACAAAAAACGGAGGCUGAAGUCUUCUUUCCUGAAUCAUCUCACACAACCUGUCCUUUUUGUUGCUUAUUAAAAUCUUUUUUUUAAACGAUUUUAUUUUUUUUUGCUUCUGUAGCCAAUGUUGAGUAAUAGCUGAAGAAUAUUGAGUUGUAAUAAUUUUAUUAUCACUGUAUGUGGCCAGGUUGGUGAGAGGAAGCUACGACAGAAUGGGUUGCACUACUUCAUAUUACUUUCCUGUAUGGAUGUAUCGAUCUAACAUUAUAGGGAGCUAGCUGAUGAAGGAAUAAAAGGCAAUUCAGUGGUUCCCUGUGUCAGCUGUAUGUGACUAAACCCGUGAGGCGGUGAUUACAAGAUGAUAGCUCCAGUUCUGGGGGAUGCAGCUGUCUUGUCAGGCUGGGAACUAGAAAUGAGGGGAGGAUGAUGUUGGCAGAUGUUGACAAAGAAAAUUAUUUGACACAGUGCAAGACUUAACAAAAGAGGCUGGAAGAAGCUGGGCCUUCCUUUUGCCAGCAGUGCAGCGGUAGGUAUGUGAUACGGAAAGAAAGGCAAGUGCGUUGACUGGUUUAUUGUUUUUAAGAUCUACUUUGUCUUAAAUGGUUUGGUGCUAAGUAAGUGUUUUGUCGUCAGUGCUUACUGCCAUUACUUCAUGGGAGACUAAAACUGCAAGGCUUGGGUCUGUCUCAACUCUGCAGAGGUAAUCAUGGCUCAUACAGGGGGGAAGCAACCUGAGAUCUGCUGUGCGUGUAGCUAAAGAAUACAGCUUGAUCUGGAGGAACAGUUAGCUGAUCUCUUGUGAUGACAAAAUGCAAACACAUGAAUUUUGUUUUUUCUUCUUUGAGAAUGAUUUUGUGCUUAAGUAGUUUAUAGAACAGUGGGUGGGCUUUCACAGACAGACUUAAACUUGGUGUUUUGAUGCUUUGUUUUUCCUUUUUUAUGGCAUAGUUAAAAACACAGUAUCUGAGGUAAGAAAAAAUAUUGCAUAAGUAAUGGUAAUGUAAGUAUCUCAGGUCUAAAAUACAGGUUAGCUGCUGCAACUGAAAGAUAAUACAGGAAAAAUGGGUUUUGUUUUUGUUCUCUUCACUGUUGUGCUGUUGUUUUCACCGCUUACCAUAUAUAAUUGAUUGGUUGUCUCCUGCUGUUAAUAUGGAUAUUUAGUACAUUGAAAUUGGAGGGGAAAAAAAAAGAUGUCUUUUCCCAGAGUGGAAGGUUGUGCCAUGUUUUAUGCCAAUAAAACAGCCAUUCAUGGCUUUCUGCUUCGUGUUCUUAUCUACCAUCAACACAUACAGUUAUCCACCCUACACCAGGUGUUGAUAAGGUGAGUGCUAGGAGCAGGAGAUGCAGCAUAGCUGCUUGUGUCCGCUCCCCCUCUAGGAGCAUGCAAGCAGCACCAGGCACAGGUUUGUAAGCACUUAAUGGAAUAAUGGUAAAUGCCAAUGGUAAGAGUGGUCUGGCAUAAACAGGAAUCCCAGGCCCUCCCUUCAGACUCUUAGGUCUGGGGUGUGUGUUUGUUGGGUUUUUUGGUUGUUUUUUUCCUGAGAUCAUUCUCCUUUGAACAAAAUACGCAAGGGCCCACCCUUCCUGAAUGGCACUUUUGGUAAUACGUUCAGUCCUGCAGCUGAGGUACUCCACAGAAGGGUUUUUUCCUUCUUUCUUUUUUUAAACCUCCUCUCCUUUUUUAAUAUAUGUCAUGAGAGAAUUUUAAUAGAUGUUUUCAUUGGAUUACUUUACAGUCUCUGAUCCUACACUUCUCUCAUUGUUCUGUGUAGUCUGCAAGGAGAGCUGCUGAUCAUUACCAGUUUAAAGCCAGCACCUUUAACUCAUCAGAAGUUUGCGUGAUGUAUUACUUACACUGGAUGUAGGUGCCAAAAGUGACCUGUAAACCUAAUACUAAAUUGGGACUACAAAAUUAAUUUCACUUAGAUUGUGGAAAUUUGACUAUAAAUAGAAUUCCUUUGGGAACUGUGUAAACCUUGACAUUGAUUUAAUGUAAUUGUUUUUCUUAAGAGGGUAACUUAAAACGAUGUAUUGUUAUACAGUUUAAACUAGCACAGAUUUCUAGCAAGUCUUGCAGUAAGACAAGUACUAACAGGAACACUCUGUGGUAUUUCUAAAUACAAGGAUUAGUUGUUGGCAGCCAUGAAGCUAGACAGACAGUCAGAUGUCAUACCCCCUCCCCAAACCUGAUUAGAUAGGUAAAGCUAUAAAGCCAACGUGUCAUUUGCCAAGCAUUUCCAUUCAAUCCAUAACUUGUAAUUUAUAAUACAUAAUUUAUGUCCAAAUCAUACUAAUUUACCCUGACUGGGGAGAAUUUGUCAACUGGAACCCAGCAAUUAAAGGUCUGAUUAGCUCCAGAACAAAAAUAUUUAUUCUCUUAAUAGAUGGCAAGUGAGUGUUUGUUUUAUGCUUAACCUAAUUUAGACUGAAAUUAUUCUGAAUCAUUCAAAUGUUUUUGCUCUGGAUGACAGCAUAUUUUGCUUGCUGUGAUGCUAGUAAUGGAAUUAAAAAGCAUAUUUAUUUUCUUGAGAUGUAGAAAUAUUUUGUUGUUUUGAAAGGGAACAUGUUCAGGUCUCUUUCUUCAAGUUAUUCCCUGAGCAGGCUGUGUUUACAAGUCUGAAUUAACACAUGCACUGUCUUUGCAUGAGAGCUCAUGCAUUAGAUUGCCUUUGCAGGGGAGAAUUUUGAAUACUUAAGCUUAAUUUGACCUAUUAAAACCCUAAUUUUGAAUGUUACACUGAAAGUAAGUAAGAAUACCCUGGCAUCCUGUAAAAUACUUGACAGUGUUUUAAAUAGAGUCAGAAUACUCCGAAUGCUGGGUCAUCUCAAAUUUGCUUCAAGUUUUCUGGCAUCUGUUACUGACCAGGUCUUCUGUAUUACUUAACAUUGUAUUGCCCUGGUCCUUUGCUAAGCGCGUAGGUGCAAAAGCAGUUCUAACAACUGUCUGACUGUAAUAAGAGCACAGCUGCACACCAGACCUUAAUCAUUUCAAAUGUUCUAAGUAACCGCUUACAGACUGCCUUUCGCAACACCUCAUUCAUCUGAGCCACUAUUAAACAUUCUCUUGUGUUAGAAGAGUUCUUAAAAUGAAUUACUUCUUCCAGACAUGGAAUAUAUUGAUAGCAGGUAGCCCUUCUAUGUUCUUCCUCCCUUCUGUAUGCUUAGGGCUAAUCUGAUCUUGUUAGUUUCUUUUAGUCUCUAAAUUGUCAGUAUGUCCUUCCAAGACAGCUCUGCCCUUUCCUUUCCUUGAUGAUUUCAAGUCGUUUGUUCUUUCCAAGGUUGACUGUCAAGGGACAAGCUUUAAGAACCUGCAUAUUUCCUCUACUGUGUAGUUAUUUGCAAGGAAAAGUAAGCUGUGAUGAAUGUGCAUCCAUGCUGAAACAGAGAAUUGCAUACAAAAACCUACCACCUGCCAGGACCUGAAAGAGCUUCUGGCAGCUAAAAAUGUAUGCAUGUUCUCGUAACUCAUAGUAAAUAAUGAUACGGGAAGUAAAUUUGCAGAAAUAUAGUUUCAAAAAUGAACACCUAGAUUUAAAAAAAAAAAAAAAAGCAAUGGGACAGAGAAUCCCAAACUUCAUUAACAGAAAUUUAGGACACCCUGAAUCUUCUCAAAUUGCAACUUGACCCAACCCUACUCAGUAGUGAAAAUGUUUUACAUCAAGGAAGGGAGGUAGAUUUGCAUUUCUUGUUGAAUUGUAAUGUAAUCAUUGAAAAUACUAAAAUAAAAUCUGUAUGUUUUAGAGGAUGAAAUGACACCCACAGCUUGAGAUAGCUCCUGGCGUGACAAAUGGGACUUGUAAGAUAAAGCAUUGAACACCUUAUAUUUGCAGUUUGCAAUGACAGUAGCCAUUUAUUAUCCGGUUUGUUCCAUACUGUAACCAUAACACUGUUAGCUGCUAAGGCUAUAAAAACUUCUAUGGAAUAUGAGAAUGCUUAAGGUAUACAAGGCAUAUUUGCAUGAUUCUGUAGAUGCUCUGAAUGAAACACAGCAUGUUUCAGUAAGAAGAUAAUGUAAUUUAAUUUGCCCUGCCAGUGA